This is a non-coding RNA of Oryzias latipes (Japanese medaka), 1169 nucleotides long. The record is from RefSeq and is a predicted model, not a curated record. Lineage: Eukaryota; Metazoa; Chordata; Actinopteri; Beloniformes; Adrianichthyidae.
CUAGAAAACAACACAGGUUUUUUAUUUUGGCUAAAAACAGCAUUAUCAUAAUUGUAAGACAACUGGGAACACUUUAAGAAAUUCAGGGGUCAUCUUCAGUUUAGGACCUGUGGAAAAAAUAAUUUCCAUGGAAGUUUUUGGUACACAAUAAUAAAUUUCUGUGGGGUGGACCGAACAUGACUCUGCCUUCCCUCUGACUUAUCCAACCCGCCUUUUUUAGAGUUGAGUCAAUAAUACUACGCCACAUGAUAUUAGUGAUUAUCUGUCCAUGUAAUCUACUGCAUGUCGAUGGUUCCACCCGGUGCUGAAGCAGAACAAAGCUUUGCUGCUGGAGCCUGAGGCAGGAGGAGUUUAGUGUGUCCCUCAUCUGGAGUCGGAAACUGCAAAGCUUUGAUCUACUGUGUCUUUAGACAUCAUGAGAACAACUGGAGGAUGUGUGGAAAACACACACAACCAAAAUGGUUACUUUUAUGCCAGAACAACCUUGAUGAGUAUACUGGACCGGCCCAAGAACAAACUACUGACCAGUCCAGGGUGUACCCCGCCUUUGCCCAACAGCAGCUGGCUUGGCUCCAGCAGCCAUGUGACCCCAAAAUGAAUUAAUAAGCAGAUUGUAUAGAUGGAUGGAUGAAUGAAGAAAAAUGCUCCACCCUCCCCUUUACAGUUGUCAAGAAUAAGAAAUCAUGCAAUGUACUCUACAAAUAUCCUGGAAACUAGACUUAAAACGUGGAGUAAAUCUGACUAGAAUCAGUAACUUACUUAUUUAUAACUGACUUUUGAAACCAGCCUCCAAUGUUUUUUGCCAGAACUUCAACAUUUGCCACUUCCUUGUUUGCUUAAAAUUUUGGAAUGGACACUUGGGAUUUAGGAAUCCUCAACUGUAGAACUGAACCCUGGAUUUAGCUUGGAAGUCUCUAUACUUGUUUCAGUUUUUGUGAUGAAGGAAGUGGAAGAAAUUAGAGCAGAAAUGUGUGAGGGAGAUGUGACGUACAAAUUUACAUUGACACAGGUGACAAAAAGACCAGUGUGGAAGUCCAGGUAAUACAAUACGUGGUAACCCCAUUGUAAACUGUGGUUCAAACUUUGAACAUAAUUUGUCAGAGAGCCAUAGAACAUCAUUUAAUGUAGCACCAACUCAAAAUAAAAAUAAAAAUAAAAGAAUUUCUUGC